UACGAAGGAUGCAAGCGUUACUCGGAAUUACUGGGCGUAAAGCGUGCGUAGGUGGUUCGUUAAGUCUGCCGUGAAAGCCCCGGGCUCAACCUGGGAAUUGCAUUCGAGACUGAAUAGCUAGGGUACGGUAGAGGGAAGUGGAAUUUCCGGUGUAGCGGUGAAAUGCGUAGAUAUCGGAAGGAACAUCAGUGGCGAAAGCGACUUCCUGGACCAGUACCGACGUUCAGGCACGAAAGCGUGGGGAGCAAACAGG
RNAcentral lists this ribosomal RNA (253 nucleotides) under uncultured bacterium. RNAcentral describes it as "partial 16S ribosomal RNA". It matches the Rfam family "Bacterial small subunit ribosomal RNA", at positions 524 to 776 of the family's 1533-position model. The record is from RNAcentral.